RNAcentral lists this ribosomal RNA (463 nucleotides) under uncultured bacterium. RNAcentral's name for it is "bacterial SSU rRNA". It matches the Rfam family "Bacterial small subunit ribosomal RNA", at positions 29 to 484 of the family's 1533-position model. The record is from RNAcentral.
AUUGAACGCUGGCGGAAUGCUUUACACAUGCAAGUCGAGCGGCAGCGCGGGGGCAACCCUGGCGGCGAGCGGCGAACGGGUGAGUAACAUAUCGGAACGUACCCCGUCGUGGGGGAUAACACAGCGAAAGCUGUGCUAAUACCGCAUACGACCUGAGGGUGAAAGCGGGGGAUCGCAAGACCUCGCGCGAUGGGAGCGGCCGAUAUCGGAUUAGCUUGUUGGUGAGGUAAAGGCUCACCAAGGCGACGAUCCGUAGCUGGUCUGAGAGGACGACCAGCCACACUGGAACUGAGACACGGUCCAGACUCCUACGGGAGGCAGCAGUGGGGAAUUUUGGACAAUGGGGGGCAACCCUGAUCCAGCCAUGCCGCGUGAGUGAAGAAGGCCUCGGUUGUAAGACUCUUCGCCGGGAACGGAAAGUACGCAUGGGUUAAGUACCCUGUGCGGAUGACGGUACCGGCGA